Molecule: ribosomal RNA, 440 nt
Filed under: uncultured bacterium
Lineage: Bacteria
Description: partial 16S ribosomal RNA
Rfam family: Bacterial small subunit ribosomal RNA
Source: RNAcentral
CCUACGGGAGGCUGCAGUAGGGAAUAUUGCUCAAUGGGGGAAACCCUGAAGCAGCAACGCCGCGUGGAGGAUGAAGGUUUUCGGAUUGUAAACCCCUUUUGUUAGAGAAGAUAAUGACGGUAUCUAACGAAUAAGCACCGGCUAACUCCGUGCCAGCAGCCGCGGUAAUACGGAGGGUGCAAGCGUUACUCGGAAUCACUGGGCGUAAGGAGCGCGUAGGCGGGAUAGCAAGUCAGAUGUGAAAUCCUAUGGCUUAACCAUAGAACUGCAUUUGAAACUGUUAUUCUAGAGUAUGGGAGAGGUAGGUGGAAUUCUUGGUGUAGGGGUGAAAUCCGUAGAGAUCAAGAGGAAUACUCAUUGCGAAGGCGACCUGCUAGAACAUAACUGACGCUGAUGCGCGAAAGCGUGGGGAGCAAACAGGAUUAGAUACCCCUGUAGUC